Molecule: long non-coding RNA, 568 nt
Organism: Gossypium raimondii (Peruvian cotton)
Lineage: Eukaryota; Viridiplantae; Streptophyta; Magnoliopsida; Malvales; Malvaceae
Exons: 2
Source: RefSeq, a predicted model, not a curated record
CCCACUCCAUUUUUCAGAAAAAGAGAACUCUCUCUUUGUUCUCUCCAUUCCUUCCCCAUCCGGCAACGCCGCCGGCCACCAGCACCCUGUCUCCGCCGUGGGCGGUGGUCAGAGUGAUAAAAAUGGUUUUUGAACCCCAUUUCAAAAGCUGAAAGAAGGCCGAGCCUUCAUAGACCGAAGGCCAAAGGGAAAGAUCCCUGCGCCCUCUCUCGGUCCGUGUAAGGCGACAGAGAACCACCCUCCGACAGUGCGGUCACAGGGCGUCUCCGGUGGCUGAUGGGCACAAGUGGGGCAAUGGGACAUCCGGCGGUGGCCGAAGCUGCUGGUGAUGCGACAGGAGUGCGGCGGCCAGGAGCUAGGGUUUCAGAAAAGCUGAAACCCUAGUUUGACUUUGGUUUCUGCGUUUGGGUUUGUUGGGCCUUGGGUGUUGGGUUUGAUUGGGGUUGUGGUGUAAUGGGUUGGUAUUGGUUUUGUUGGUAUGGGCCCGGGCUAAAAUUGGGCUUGUACAUUAAUCUUAUUUAAUUAUUUUAAUAAUACAUGGACUAAAUUAAUUCAUUUCAUAAUAGAA